Molecule: ribosomal RNA, 424 nt
Filed under: uncultured bacterium
Lineage: Bacteria
Description: bacterial SSU rRNA
Rfam family: Bacterial small subunit ribosomal RNA
Source: RNAcentral
GAAUAUUGGACAAUGGGGGGACCCCUGAUCCAGCCAUGCCGCGUGUGUGAAGAAGGCCUUUUGGUUGUAAAUCACUUUAAGCGAGGAGGAGUCUACCCCAGUUAAUACCUAGAGAUAGUGGACGUUCCUCGCAUAAUAAGCACCGGCCAACUCUGUGCCAGCCGCCGCGGUAAUACAGAGGGUGCAAGCGUUAAUCGGAUUUACUGGGCGUAAAGCGCGCGUAGGUGGCCAAUUAAGUCAAAUGUGAAAUCCCCGAGCUUAACUUGGGAAUUGCAUUCGAUACUGGUUGGCUAGAGUAUGGGAGAGGAUGGUAGGAUUCCAGGUGUAGCGGUGAAAUGCGUAGAGAUCUGGAGGAAUACCGAUGGCGAAGACAGGCAUCUGGCCUAAUACUGACACUGAGGUGCGAAAGCAUGGGGAGCAAACA